AGUGAACGCUGGCGGUAGGCCUAACACAUGCAAGUCGAACGGCAGCACAGGAGAGCUUGCUCUCUGGGUGGCGAGUGGCGGACGGGUGAGGAAUACAUCGGAAUCUGCCCAGUCGUGGGGAAAAACGAGGGAAACUUAAGGCUACUACGGAUAAGGACCUCCGGCGUAAGGGGGGGGGGGGAAAGACCCCUGGGGAUGGAUGGGUCGGUUGUCGGAUUAGCUAGUUGGCGGGGUAAUGGCCCACCAAGGCGACGAGCCGUGGCUGGUCUGAGAGGAUGAUCAGCCACACUGGAACUGAGACACGGUCCAGACUCCUACGGGAGGCAGCAGUGGGGAAUAUUGGACAAUGGGCGCAAGCCUGAUCCAGCCAUACCGCGUGGGUGAAGAAGGCCUUCGGGUUGUAAAGCCCUUUUGUUGGGAAAGAAAUCUUUCAGGCUAAUACCCUGGGAGGAUGACGGUACCCAAAGAAUAAGCACCGGCUAACUUCGUG
RNAcentral lists this ribosomal RNA (490 nucleotides) under uncultured bacterium. RNAcentral's name for it is "partial 16S ribosomal RNA". It matches the Rfam family "Bacterial small subunit ribosomal RNA", at positions 30 to 507 of the family's 1533-position model. The record is from RNAcentral.